Molecule: long non-coding RNA, 3065 nt
Organism: Athene cunicularia (burrowing owl)
Lineage: Eukaryota; Metazoa; Chordata; Aves; Strigiformes; Strigidae
Exons: 2
Source: RefSeq, a predicted model, not a curated record
UGCACGUCCAUUGAACAUAUCUACAAAUGACUUAAAAUUCUUUAUUCAGAUGAUUACAACUUUAAUUAAAAGGUAGAAACUCCUUCAGAAUUCUCCUCAGCAUAAGGAAAACAUAGCCACUUUUCAGAAACAAAUUUGAUCAGCAGGUUAUAGGCUGACACAGACAUGCUUACUACUCAGUAAGAUUCCUAGCAGCCAAGAAACAAUAAAGUGCUAAUUUCAGACUUUCAUUUCUAGCAUCCACCAUAGUCUAAACCAUUUCUUCUCUUAUUGGGUUGAUAGCCACUAAAACCAUAAAAAAGCAGCUUUAAAAUUUAUUAAAAAUAUUAUUCAGUUGUUAGUAGUGGUGCAAACUGUUUCCUAACAGAUUAUAGAAAUCUAUUCAGAUACUUUUCUAUUUGUGUCUACUGGGCAGAUUCUCUAACACUUGGCUAUAUGACAGUGCUUCUUCACUGGUUUGUAAAGUAGAAAUAAAGGUGUCUAGGUACCUCCAGAUGUUGGAGGAUCAAAGAUGCAUUUCAAGUGAAAAAUCCAUUUUCUUACUGGUUACAUCAUUUAAAAAUCCAAAAGAAUUUUUCAAGUGUUUUAAAUAAAACGCUUGUGCAAGCAGAAUGUUUUUUUUCUGUAUGAAUAAGCCCCUAUUACAACAUAAAGAACCUUCGUGUUCUACAGCAUAGUUCCAAACCAAAUUCUUCAGAAAUUUCCUUGCACGUGUAACCGUAUGCAACACUUUAGCCUUGCAUUUGAAAAUAUCUAUCUUUCUACAAGCAUUAAACCUCACACUACUGCCAGUUAGAUCAAACGAUGAGACACUCACUCUAACACAGAAUAUACCAACUUCAUGUCAUAGUUAUGUCAAUAAACUAGGUUGCAUGUUAUUAAAUUGCUGAAAGACACCAGGGAGUCUCUUUUUCCUGGAAGGACUUGAACACACCCAGUCUUAUAAGGAUCCAGACCUUUGUUUCACAAUUUAUUCAAAGGAUGUCAAGAAGAAUAUACAGUUUUGUGUUCCCAUAAUCUGUUUCAAAAAUAACAAAGGAGUGUUAGGUAAGUGUUUUAGUAAUCCCACCUAUGUCUGGAUCUAAAUAAUAGUGAGAUACAAAACUAACUGAUAAAGGUAGAACCAUAAAUAGACAAUACAAAAUCAGAACACAAAGACAAAAAAACCCAUUUUUUAUUUCAACAAAGAAACUAAACUCAAUCUUAGCAAAAAUAGAAUCUGUCCAUAAAAAAUGUGUACGUACAGCACAAGAAAAUAACAUAUUAUCACAAGUGACUUUUUAGGAAAAAAAAAAGCAAACAACAAAAUGAUGUGGGCUCUCUUGAGAAGAAUGCAGUUUAUUUUUGUGCUUACAUUUUCUAUACAGUGUAGAGAAAUCCAGACUAUCUAGAACAUGAAGUGGAAAUUAGCAUGUCCAGUUAGUUUGAGAAUUAGUCAGCAGUUAAGGAAGAAAGUUUGAAUCACUGUUUUAGACUUGGUUGUCUCAAUUCAGUCCAAGAACACUUAUCUUCUUGGUUCAACGUGGUACUAUAAUAUUGUAAAGAUCCAAGUAGACACUAUAAGCUCACUUGAAUACCUAUCUUUCCUUCCUAUCUUGAUUUUCUUUGCAGAUCAUGGCUUUACUUAAGACACUGAAAUAAAGAUGACUGUUAAAAGGUGGGCAGUUUCCUGAAUAUUUCCAAGAACAUGUAAAUUACAACCAUAUUUCCACUAUUUCUGCUGCUACAUCUACUAUUUCUUGUCUGAGUACAUCUGAUUAGCAUCAGUGCAUUUGAUCCCAUACUAUAGUAACAGUAUACAUCUUGCAUAGGUUUACAGACUUUGUGAAAGGCUGAGUGAAUUAAUAUGAUCCACUUUUCAAAUUUCAGAUUUUCACAUCAGAUGGCACCAGUCUCUUGUCACACAGCUGCAAACUGUCUUGAACACAGUUUUAUCCCAUGAAGUUCCUAAUCCACUUAACAAUUUUUAUGCAAGAUACACAAAUGUUUAAACAUGAUAGUAUGUCCAAACUAUAUCACAUUUAUUCAUUUUUGGCAAUCUUUUCACUGAAGAUUAAAAAUUUUUUAACAUUUUUUAAAAAUUAUUUUUGGGUCAGAGGCUAUUAAUAGCUACUCCUCAGAAACAUUGGGUUGAUCUGCAGUCUAAGGCAUCAGAUGUGAUCUAAGAUCUAAAUCUGUACUUUGAGAAACUGGGAGCCUGGUCAAUUCAGUUCCAUAGGGAAAAAGACUACCUAGCUACGGCCCUUGAUGGGAAAGGCUCAUGUGGAGCAGAGCUUCUGGUUUUGCACCAUUGCACCCUCUAGGAUCCAGGCACAUGGUAUGGUCAUGUCUAAGGCAGUAUACAGAAAACAAAACAGAUAAAGGAAGGGACCUCUGGAGAAGGAACAUAAAGGUCAGAGGGCUUCUAGACACAACUGGGAAAUUUCUUGCAGAUAGAAAAGUGAUGGGAGAUCAGCAAAGGUCAGCUCAUCUGCACUGGACUGGGCCAACGACUUGAAUUAGUGAGGGAAGCUGGAGCUGUGCUGGACCAGUACUUCUAAAAAUGGCAGAGACUCUAUGGACACAAAGACUGCAUUCUGUGCAAAUGCAAGGAAGCCAUCGUUAUGGCCAUGUGUAGAUACAGGACUCAUUUUUUUUUAUAAGGGAAAGUGUGAUGGUGAAAUACAAAAAAUUAAAAAUCUUAGAACUGUGAGAUUACAGCAAUUUAUCUGUACAUGCUAGAAACAUUUAUUUCAAUAUAUUCCUCCACAAUACAGAGAUUCCCAGAAAAACAUUCUGAUGACUUUCAGAAGGAUCAUUCACAUUCAUAGAGUCCAAGUAUCUUGCUGGCCUUUUAGCACCAUGCUUUUAGCUGAUAAUUUCAUAACUAUACAGCUGCUCUUUCUCACAGUGGUAAAAGCAUGUGUAAAAAUUCUGUCCAUUUGUACUGAGACUAAACAACCUGACUCAAACGGUUCUUCCUAAGGCAUUACCAUCACCUAACCUUAUUGCUACCUAAGAUUAAAAGAAAAAAGAGAUUAAUCUAAUUUUUCAAAUAGUUCAGUGUAAAUCAGACAUGGAAAAAA